GCAGCCUGCAACCCGGCUGCACGAAGCCGGAAUCGCUAGUAAUCGCGGAUCAGAAUGCCGCGGUGAAUACGUUCCCGGGCCUUGUACACACCGCCCGUCACACCAUGGGAGUCGGUAACACCCAAAGUUGGUAGCCUAACCGCAAGGAGGGCGCCGCCUAAGGUGGGAUUGAUGACUGGGGUGAAGUCGUAACAAGGUACC
RNAcentral lists this ribosomal RNA (201 nucleotides) under uncultured bacterium. RNAcentral's name for it is "partial 16S ribosomal RNA". It matches the Rfam family "Bacterial small subunit ribosomal RNA", at positions 1300 to 1500 of the family's 1533-position model. The record is from RNAcentral.